AUAGGGCCAUAUGGGGACAUAUAGGGCCAUAUGGAGACAUAUAGGGCCAUAUGGAGAUAUACAGGGUCAUAUGGGGACAUAUAGGGUCAUAUGGGGACAUAUAGAGUCAUAUGGAGACAUAUAGGGCCACAUGGGGCCAUAUAGGGCCAUAUGGAGACAAAUAGGGCCAUAUGGAGACAUAUGGAGACAUAUAGGGCCAUAUGGGGCCAUAUAGGGUCAUAUGGAGACAUAUAGGGCCAUAUGGGGCCGUAUAGGGUCAUAUGGAGACAUAUAGGGCCAUAUGGGGCCAUAUAGGGCCAUAUGAGGACAUAUGGAGACAUAUAGGGCCAUAUGGGGCCAUAUGGAGACAUAUAGGGCCAUAUGGGGCCAUAUGAAGACAUAUAGGGCCAUAUGGACACAUAUAGGGCCAUAUGGGGCCAUACAGAUCCAUAUGGGGCCAUAUGGGACCAUAUGGGGCCAUACAGAUCCAUAUGGGGCCAUAUGGGACCAUAUAGAGCCACAUGGGAAAUACAGGGACAUAUGGGGUCAUAUAGGGCCAUAUGGGGCCACAUGGGGCCAUAUAGGACCACAUAGGGCUAUAUAGGGUCAUAUAGGGCCAUAUGGGGCCACGGCCAUGGGGUGACCCCCCAUAGGAUCCCACCUGGUCGCAGAUCAGCUCCCACUUCUUCUCAUUGUCAUACUGCCGCAGCAGCUUCGCUUUGUCUGGAGGCAGGUUCAUGGAGCUCUGGGGACAUGGGGGGACGUGGGGGACCCCAAUGGGGACACCCAGCCCCAUAGCAAAGCCCUGGAUCCCAAUGGGGACACCCAGCCCCAUAGCAAAGCCCUGGAUCCCAAUGGGGACACCCAGCCCCAUAGCAAAGCCCUGGACCCCAAUGGGGACACCCCAGCCCCUACGCAAAGCCCUGGGAUCCCAAUGGGGACACCCAGCCCCAUUAGCAAAGCCCUGGAUCCCAAUGGGGACACCCAGCCCCAUAGCAAAGCCCUGGAUCCCAAUGGGGGACACCCCAGCCCAAGCAAUAGCCCGGACCCCAAUGGAGACAACUCAGCCCCAUAGCAAAGCCCACACCACAAUGGGGACACCCAUAGCCAAAGCCCUGGAUCCCAUGGAGACACCCAGCCCCAUAGCCAAAGCCCUGGAUCCUCAAUGGGGACACCCAGCCCCAUAGCAAAGCCCUGAACUCCAAUGGGGACACCCAGCCCAUAGCAAAGCCCUGGAUCCCAAUGGGGACACUCAGCCCCAUAGCAAAGCCCUGGGACCCCAAUGGGGACACCCAGCCCAUAGCAAAGCCUGGACCCCAAUGGGACACCCAGCCCCAUAGCAAAGCCCUGGAUCCCAAUGGGACACCCAGCCCAUAGCAAAGCCCUGGACCCCAAUGGGGACACCCAGCCCCAUAGCAAAGCCCUGGACCCCAAUGGGGACACACAACCCCAUAGCAAAGCCCUGAUCCCAAUUGGGGCACACCAGCCCCAUAGCAAAGCCCUGGAUCCCAAUGGGGACACCCAGCCCAUAGCAAAGCCCUGGAUUCCCAAGGGGGACGCCCAGCCCCAUAGCAAAGCCCUUGGACCCCAAUGGGGACACCCAUAGCAAAGUCCCACACCCCAAUGGGGACACCCAGCCCAUAGCAAAGCCCUGGAUCCCAAUGGGGACACCCAGCCCCAUAGUGGAACCCAUAACCCAAAGGAGAUGACCAAACCCCAAUACAGUGGGAUCCUCCU
RNAcentral lists this long non-coding RNA (1716 nucleotides) under Coturnix japonica (Japanese quail). Its description in RNAcentral is "lncRNA (ENSCJPG00005002870.1)". Lineage: Eukaryota; Metazoa; Chordata; Aves; Galliformes; Phasianidae. The record is from RNAcentral.